AUACGGAGGGUGCAAACGUUGUUCGGAAUCACUGGGCGUAAAGGGCGCGCAGGCGGUUUGAUUAGUCAGAUGUGAAAGCCCACGGCUUAACCGUGGAAGUGCAUUUGAAACUGUCAGACUUGAGUACUAGAGGGGAAAGUGGAAUUCCCGGUGUAGAGGUGAAAUUCGUAGAUAUCGGGAGGAAUACCGGUGGCGAAGGCGACUUUCUGGCUAGAUACUGACGCUGAGGCGCGAAAGCGUGGGGAGCAAACAGGAUUAGAAACCCCAGUAGUCC
Molecule: ribosomal RNA, 274 nt
Filed under: uncultured bacterium
Lineage: Bacteria
Description: partial 16S ribosomal RNA
Rfam family: Bacterial small subunit ribosomal RNA
Source: RNAcentral